AACACAUGCCAAGUCGAACGGCAGCACAGGAGAGCUUGCUCUCUGGGUGGCGAGUGGCGGACGGGUGAGGAAUACAUCGGAAUCUACCUUGUCGUGGGGGAUAACGUAGGGAAACUUACGCUAAUACCGCAUACGACCUUCGGGUGAAAGUGGGGGACCGCAAGGCCUCACGCGAUUAGAUGAGCCGAUGUCGGAUUAGCUAGUUGGCGGGGUAAAAGCCC
This 221-nucleotide ribosomal RNA is filed under the name Pseudoxanthomonas sp. NJ-125. Its description in RNAcentral is "partial 16S ribosomal RNA". It matches the Rfam family "Bacterial small subunit ribosomal RNA", at positions 50 to 266 of the family's 1533-position model. Lineage: Bacteria; Pseudomonadati; Pseudomonadota; Gammaproteobacteria; Lysobacterales; Lysobacteraceae. The record is from RNAcentral.